This 149-nucleotide ribosomal RNA is filed under the name Battersia racemosa. RNAcentral's name for it is "partial 18S ribosomal RNA". It matches the Rfam family "Eukaryotic small subunit ribosomal RNA", at positions 1683 to 1831 of the family's 1831-position model. The record is from RNAcentral. Lineage: Eukaryota; Phaeophyceae; Sphacelariales; Sphacelariaceae.
UACCGAUUGAAUGUUUCGGUGAAGAUUCCGGACCGUGGCUCGUGCGCUUCACGGCGCGCUUGCCGUGGGAAGUUAUCUAAACCUCAACAUUUAGAGGAAGGUGAAGUCGUAACAAGGUUUCCGUAGGUGAACCUGCGGAAGGAUCAUUA